UACGUAGGUGGCAAGCGUUGUCCGGAUUUACUGGGCGUAAAGAGCGCGCAGGCGGUCCUUCAAGUCGAAUGUGAAAUCCCCCGGCUCAACUGGGGAGGGUCAUUCGAUACUGAUGGACUCGAAGGCAGGAGAGGGAAGCGGAAUUCCCGGUGUAGUGGUGAAAUGCGUAGAGAUCCGGAGGAACCCCAGAGGCGAAGGCGGCGCCCUGGCUCGCAACUGACGCUCAGACACGACAGCAUGGGGAGCGAACGGG
This 253-nucleotide ribosomal RNA is filed under the name uncultured bacterium. RNAcentral's name for it is "partial 16S ribosomal RNA". It matches the Rfam family "Bacterial small subunit ribosomal RNA", at positions 524 to 776 of the family's 1533-position model. The record is from RNAcentral.